Molecule: long non-coding RNA, 1936 nt
Organism: Gallus gallus (chicken)
Lineage: Eukaryota; Metazoa; Chordata; Aves; Galliformes; Phasianidae
Source: Ensembl
CCUCCAACCACACCUCAGUGACCACCACCACCACUUGGGUGUCCAUCAGCCAGGCUUCAGUGGCUGCCAACGCCUCCAUGAACCAUACAGAACAAACCCCGGUAAGGAGAGGGAAGGGGGAUGCUGGCCAUGCAGAAGCUCUGCUGCGCUGUGACCCCCUGGCGUGUCCUCCCCCCAGCUCAGCUGUCAGAGCUUCCAGUGCUCCGGGGAGAGGUGUUACCAGGAUGAGGCCCACAGCAACAUGACGACCACCUGCUACAAUGAGACCUUCUGCGAGGUAUGGAGCUUAGAGCGGCUGCUGGAGGCUGUGAGCACAACACCUGAUUUUCCUUUGCCACUGUCCCACUCUGUCCAUUAUUUUUGCUCCUCUGUAAUGGCCUCUCUUCGCACUUCUAGUGGGUUUUUUUUUUUUCCUUUGGCUCUGCUGUUGCAGCUUUAUCGUUUCUCCAGCAUGAACUACACCGCCAGAUGCAGCAGUGUGUGCAGUGCAGAGCUGUGCAGGACCAAUGGCAGCGUGACCCUACAGCAGUGCACCAUGGAGUGCUGCAACACCUCCCUCUGCCUGCAGCUCAAUGCAAGCUCCUAUGGUAACUGCUCCAUGGUUUAUCCCGCUGCAUGCAACAGAAGUGGGUGUGCGGAUCCAUCAUGCUGGGCUGCAUCGCUGUGGUUCCUCUGCCCCAGCGUGUGGACAUGAAGGCUGCACAUGGGCUGUGUCCUCAGGGCUCCUCUGUGCCCACAGGUGAUCUUCCCCCCACCACCGUGCUGCCCACGACCACCAUCACCACCACCACCACCCCACGCCCCCCCCCACGAAAUGGGAAAAUCUGUGCAGCAUUCUCCUGCCAUGGGGAUGGAUGUUUCAAAGGCAAGAAGAGCACAGCUAGAUGCUUUGUUGGGCAUGAUUUCUGCGAGAUGAAGAAGACGGGCUUCAAUUAUGUGGCAGGAUGCAGCAAAGCCUGCAAGGCUGCCAAGCCUGUCUGUGCCCGGGGGGUGAAGGCUGCCUGUUUCCAGGAGUGCUGCCCCGCCACCCCCAAGGGCAGCUGCUUAAAGCUGGAUGGCAAAGUUCAUGUGAAUGGUGCUGGGCAGGUGGCUGUGUCCCCGCUGCUGCAGCUCCUGGCAUGUGGGGCAGCCCUCCUCUUGAGCCGAAGGGCCUCCACUCCCCUCCAUGGGUGAUCCCCGCUACACAUCGAGCCUCUGUGCUGCAGGGAUGGCAGAUGCUGGAAGGAGAGACCUCAGGUGUAGGAGUGAGAGGAUGCUGAGCCAGCUUGGAACCCAGGAACCUCUGCCUUGACCCAAGGCACAGCUUACACAGUGUAGUUACAACGUGUUUGCACCGCAACUGUCUGAACACCCACUUAGUUUCUAAAUGAUACGUCCUGUCCCAGUAGGCUGUACUGUUUUGUCUCCAGGUCUUAGACAGGGCAAUGGGGCUGAGCUAAAAGCAUCGUGUUAGACCGUCCUGUUUCGUAUCUAUGAUUCUCUAUGGGUAAAUGUAGAGCAGAGACACGAGCGUGAGUCUGUAACAGGAGCUGGCUCCCAGCCAGACAGCUGGCAAUGGCUCUGUGGUGCCACUGUGCAAACACAUUCUGUCCUCUUCCUGCUCUCUUUUAAGAAAAUAAAAUAUAAUGACAAUAAUAGAGAAGCUUCAGUCCCUUGGGUUGAUGUCAGGCUGCUUUGGGCACAGCUCAGCUCCAGGGAUGUGGUGGGAAGGGGAUCCCAGCUGUAGGGCUGUGCUGGGACAGCAGCAGGAUGGCUUUGCUGGGAGCUCCGCACAGUGGAUGUGGGGCUGAGGGCAGGCAGUGUGCAGCCAUCAUUGGCCCUUCCACGCUGCAGUGCUGCUGCACCAAAGCCAUGGCACGGGCUGGGGGGUGCUGUCCCAUCAGUCUAUCGGCAGAAAAUGACAACGGGAUGGAACUCAAAGAUGUUUCUGUUUCAG